UACAGAGGUGGCAAGCGUUGUUCGGAAUUACUGGGCGUAAAGGGCGCGUAGGCGGCUUGGUCAGUCCCGUGUGAAAUCCCUCGGCUCAACUGAGGAACUGCACGGGAAACUGCCUGGCUUGAGUGCGGGAGAGGGAAGCGGAAUUCCGGGUGUAGCGGUGAAAUGCGUAGAUAUCCGGAGGAACACCGGUGGCGAAGGCGGCUUCCUGGACCGGCACUGACGCUGAGGCGCGAAAGCUAGGGGAGCAAACGGG
Molecule: ribosomal RNA, 253 nt
Filed under: uncultured bacterium
Lineage: Bacteria
Description: partial 16S ribosomal RNA
Rfam family: Bacterial small subunit ribosomal RNA
Source: RNAcentral